AGUAAUGCUUCAUGAUCCUGAUUCCAGUCGUUUAAAAUUUUUAAUAGGGCCCAAUACAAAAACUCAGUGAGUAAGUCCUCACCUUACAUGUGUCAGCAUCCCAUAU
This is a long non-coding RNA of Ochotona curzoniae (black-lipped pika), 106 nucleotides long. RefSeq lists it as uncharacterized. The transcript is spliced from 3 exons. NCBI's taxonomy places the organism in Eukaryota, Metazoa, Chordata, Mammalia, Lagomorpha, Ochotonidae. The record is from RefSeq and is a predicted model, not a curated record.